Molecule: ribosomal RNA, 374 nt
Filed under: uncultured organism
Description: partial 16S ribosomal RNA
Rfam family: Bacterial small subunit ribosomal RNA
Source: RNAcentral
GUAGGUGGGCAAGCGUUGUCCGGAAUUAUUGGGCGUAAAGCGCGCGCAGGGCGGUCCUUUAAGUCUGGGUGUGAAAGCCCACGGGCUCAACCGUGAGGGUCAUUGGAAACUGGGGGACUUGAGUACAGAAGAGGAAAGCGGAAUUCCAAGUGUAGCGGUGAAAUGCGUAGAGAUUUGGAGGAACACCAGUGGCGAAGGCGGCUUUCUGGUCUGUAACUGACGCUGAGGCGCGAAAGCGUGGGGAGCAAACAGGAUUAGAUACCCUGGUAGUCCACGCCGUAAACGAUGAGUGCUAAGUGUUAGGGGGUUUCCGCCCCUUAGUGCUGCAGCUAACGCAUUAAGCACACCGCCUGGGAGUACGGCCGCAAAGGCUG